UGAUUGAACGUGCUUGCACGGACUUGACGUUGGUUUACCAGCGAGUGGCGGACGGGUGAGUAACACGUAGGUAACCUGCCCCAAAGCGGGGGAUAACAUUUGGAAACAGAUGCUAAUACCGCAUAACAAUUUGAAUCGCAUGAUUCAAAUUUAAAAGAUGGCUUCGGCUAUCACUUUGGGAUGGACCUGCGGCGCAUUAGCUUGUUGGUAGGGUAACGGCCUACCAAGGCUGUGAUGCGUAGCCGAGUUGAGAGACUGAUCGGCCACAAUGGAACUGAGACACGGUCCAUACUCCUACGGGAGGCAGCAGUAGGGAAUCUUCCACAAUGGGCGCAAGCCUGAUGGAGCAACACCGCGUGAGUGAAGAAGGGUUUCGGCUCGUAAAGCUCUGUUGUUAGAGAAGAACGUGCGUGAGAGCAACUGUUCACGCAGUGACGGUAUCUAACCAGAAAGUCACGGCUAACUACGUGCCAGCAGCCGCGGUAAUACGUAGGUGGCAAGCGUUAUCCGGAUUUAUUGGGCGUAAAGCGAGCGCAGGCGGUUUGAUAAGUCUGAUGUGAAAGCCUUUGGCUUAACCAAAGAAGUGCAUCGGAAACUGUCAGACUUGAGUGCAGAAGAGGACAGU
RNAcentral lists this ribosomal RNA (625 nucleotides) under Limosilactobacillus mucosae. RNAcentral describes it as "bacterial SSU rRNA". It matches the Rfam family "Bacterial small subunit ribosomal RNA", at positions 45 to 662 of the family's 1533-position model. The record is from RNAcentral. Lineage: Bacteria; Bacillati; Bacillota; Bacilli; Lactobacillales; Lactobacillaceae.